UACGUAGGUGGCAAGCGUUGUCCGGAUUUAUUGGGUUUAAAGGGUGCGUAGGCGGCCCUGUAAGUCAGUGCUGAAAUAUCCCAGCUUAACUGGGAGGGUGGCAUUGAUACUGCGGGGCUAGAGUACAGAUGGGGUAGGCGGAAUUGACGGUGUAGCGGUGAAAUGCUUAGAUAUCGUCAAGAACACCUAUAGCGAAGGCAGCUUACUAGGCUGUAACUGACGCUGAGGCACGAAAGUGUGGGGAUCAAACAGG
This 253-nucleotide ribosomal RNA is filed under the name uncultured bacterium. RNAcentral describes it as "partial 16S ribosomal RNA". It matches the Rfam family "Bacterial small subunit ribosomal RNA", at positions 524 to 776 of the family's 1533-position model. The record is from RNAcentral.